CUACGGGAUGCUCCAGUGGGGAAUAUUGGACAAUGGGCGCAAGCCUGAUCCAGCAAUGCCGCGUGAGUGAAGACGGCCUUAGGGUUGUAAAACUCUUUCGCUAGGGAAGAUAAUGACUGUACCUAGUAAAGAAGUCCCGGCUAACUCCGUGCCAGCAGCCGCGGUAAUACGGAGGGGACUAGCGUUGUUCGGAAUUACUGGGCGUAAAGAGUUCGUAGGCGGACUGACAAGUUAGAGGUGAAAUCCCAGGGCUCAACCCUGGAACUGCCUUUAAAACUGUCAGUCUAGAGACCGGAAGAGGUUAGGGGAAUACCUAGUGUAGAGGUGAAAUUCGUAGAUAUUAGGUGGAACACCAGUGGCGAAGGCGCCUAACUGGUCCGGUACUGACGCUGAGGAACGAAAGCGUGGGGAGCAAACAGGAUUAGAUACCCCAGUAGUC
This 439-nucleotide ribosomal RNA is filed under the name uncultured bacterium. RNAcentral's name for it is "partial 16S ribosomal RNA". It matches the Rfam family "Bacterial small subunit ribosomal RNA", at positions 339 to 795 of the family's 1533-position model. The record is from RNAcentral.